RNAcentral lists this unclassified non-coding RNA (315 nucleotides) under Tomentella ferruginea. RNAcentral describes it as "sequence contains 5.8S rRNA gene". Lineage: Eukaryota; Fungi; Basidiomycota; Agaricomycetes; Thelephorales; Thelephoraceae. The record is from RNAcentral.
GAACGCACCUUGCGCCCUUUGGCUAUUCCGAAGGGCAUGCCUGUUUGAGUAUCAUGAACACCUCAACUCUCAUGGUUUGCCAUGAUGAGCUUGGACUUUGGGGGACUUGCUGGCCUAUGGUCGGCUCCUCUCAAAUGAAUCAGCUUACCAGUGUUUGGUGGCGUCACAGGUGUGAUAACUAUCUACGCUUGCGGCUUUCCAUCAGGUAACCUUCAGUGAUGGAGGUUUGCUGGGGGCUCAUAAAUGUCUCUCCUCGGUGAGGACAGCUUUUUGAACGUUUGAUCUCAAAUCAGGUAGGACUACCCGCUGAACUUA